UGGGUGUAAUCUGGUGUGGCCUCAAGAAA
Molecule: non-coding RNA, 29 nt
Filed under: Rattus norvegicus (Norway rat)
Lineage: Eukaryota; Metazoa; Chordata; Mammalia; Rodentia; Muridae
Source: RNAcentral